GAUCCCUUAGCUCAGUGGUAGAGCGUGUGAUUCCAGCUUCAUUGCGUGUCCACAAGGUCAAGUGUUUAACUCGCUUAGAGAUCA
Molecule: transfer RNA, 84 nt
Filed under: Armillaria luteobubalina
Lineage: Eukaryota; Fungi; Basidiomycota; Agaricomycetes; Agaricales; Physalacriaceae
Rfam family: tRNA
About the family: Transfer RNA (tRNA) molecules are approximately 80 nucleotides in length. Their secondary structure includes four short double-helical elements and three loops (D, anti-codon, and T loops).
Source: Rfam by way of RNAcentral